Molecule: ribosomal RNA, 254 nt
Filed under: uncultured bacterium
Lineage: Bacteria
Description: partial 16S ribosomal RNA
Rfam family: Bacterial small subunit ribosomal RNA
Source: RNAcentral
UACGGAGGGUGCGAGCGUUGUCCGGAAUCACUGGGCGUAAAGGGCGCGUAGGUGGCCUGUGGAAGUCUGCGGUGAAAGCCCGGCGCUCAACGCCGGGUCUGCCGUGGAUACUCUCGGGCUUGAGCUUACUAGAGGCAGAUGGAAUUCCGGGUGUAGCGGUGGAAUGCGUAGAGAUCGGGAAGAACAUCAGUGGCGAAGGCGGCCUGCUGGGCUGUUGCUGACGCUGAGGCGCGACAGCGUGGGGAGCAAACAGG